CUCAGUUUGGUCCCUAGGGUGAAAAGAUCCGGGGUUGGUAUGGUCAAUAUUGGCUUCUGGCUAUACAAAUUGGGGGUAGGGGUCGAUUAAAUAUUUUUUGGCUUACGUUCACAUAUUUUAGUAUAUAUAAAGAUUCAAGCAUGUAGUAAACACCCUAAGCAUUAGUUUGAGCUAUUAUAUACCCCAAUGGCAUGCCUGGGCGGUGCUGGGGGAAGAUUUUCACUUUAAUGGGUAGUUGCCUUUAUGUUGGUUUUCUAGGCUUUGAUGAUGGUUUAUCGUGUUUUCCUUUUAAAGAAGC
Molecule: long non-coding RNA, 298 nt
Filed under: Mytilus galloprovincialis (Mediterranean mussel)
Lineage: Eukaryota; Metazoa; Mollusca; Bivalvia; Mytilida; Mytilidae
Source: RNAcentral